UGCGUGAAAUCGAGCAGGAAUCGCCGGAAGCCUGUUCGUGCAACUGCCUACAGCGGAUGCGCUCCUCGUAGGUGCCGUUGACCGAGGUUGAGUGCGUGGAGGCACACAAGACCGAGCAGCAAUUAGGCGGCGAGAGGCGCAUGAGCGACAGGCAUCGGCAGCGAGGAGCGUUGCAUUGGCAGGAAUCGGCGUCACAACGGCGAGGAGUGCGGCGGCAGGAAAUCGGCGUCGCGAUGGCGAGGAGCACGGUCGGCACCGAGCAGAGGAGCUUGUCACAUGCAGAAGCGCGCGAGUGUCUUGUUUGCUACCGGAAUAGUGGUCAGAAAAACAGCUACGGAGCAGUACACCAAUCG
RNAcentral lists this long non-coding RNA (353 nucleotides) under Oryza brachyantha (malo sina). RNAcentral describes it as "long non-coding RNA (OBRA_LNC002823)". The record is from RNAcentral. Lineage: Eukaryota; Viridiplantae; Streptophyta; Magnoliopsida; Poales; Poaceae.